UACGGGGGGGGCAAGCGUUGUUCGGAAUUACUGGGCGUAAAGGGCGCGUAGGCGGCCUGCUAAGUCGGACGUGAAAUCCCUCGGCCCAACCGGGGAACUGCGUCCGAUACUGGCGAGGCUUGAAUCCGGGAGAGGGAUGCGGAAUUCCAGGUGUAGCGGUGAAAUGCGUAGAUAUCUGGAGGAACACCGAUGGCGAAGGCAGGUCUCUGGGCUGACACUGACGCUCAUGCACGAAAGCGUGGGGAGCAAACAGG
This 254-nucleotide ribosomal RNA is filed under the name uncultured bacterium. RNAcentral describes it as "partial 16S ribosomal RNA". It matches the Rfam family "Bacterial small subunit ribosomal RNA", at positions 524 to 776 of the family's 1533-position model. The record is from RNAcentral.